GUAGGUGGCAAGCGUUGUCCGGAAUUAUUGGGCGUAAAGCGCGCGCAGGCGGUCCUUUAAGUCUGAUGUGAAAGCCCACGGCUCAACCGUGUAGGGUCAUUGGAAACUGGGGGACUUGAGUACAGAAGAGGAAAGCGGAAUUCCAAGUGUAGCGGUGAAAUGCGUAGAGAUUUGGAGGAACACCAGUGGCGAAGGCGGCUUUCUGGUCUGUAACUGACGCUGAGGCGCGAAAGCGUGGGGAGCAAACAGGGAUUAGAUACCCUGGUAGUCCACGCCGUAAACGAUGAGUGCUAAGUGUUAGGGGGUUUCCGCCCCCUUAGUGCUGCAGCUAACGCAUUAAGCACUCCGCCUGGGGAGUACGGCCGCAAGGCUG
Molecule: ribosomal RNA, 373 nt
Filed under: uncultured organism
Description: partial 16S ribosomal RNA
Rfam family: Bacterial small subunit ribosomal RNA
Source: RNAcentral